This 514-nucleotide long non-coding RNA is filed under the name Equus asinus (donkey). RNAcentral describes it as "lncRNA (ENSEASG00005038741.1)". Lineage: Eukaryota; Metazoa; Chordata; Mammalia; Perissodactyla; Equidae. The record is from RNAcentral.
GCUAGCCCCAACCCUCAGCCCAUGCCCUUCUCUUCUCAGCCCAGGCUCCAUCUGCACCAUGAGGAGCAGUGUGUGUGUGUGUGGACACCUAGCCCAUAAGUGCAAGCUGUUGUCACCCACUCUCUCGUGAACUGUCACUCUCUGACAUACCUAAAGGGAGAACAGAUGCAGGGAAGAGACCUGUGCAGGUAAUCCAGAUCUGAGCUCAGAGUGCUGUUCUGGAGUCUCUGUUACUCCAGUCUAGCCCUGUUGCACAGUGGUAUUGACACGAAGUCCUUGGAAACCACCAAUCAUUCUCCAGGGCCAUGAGUUGCUGAGGGAAUAUGGAAGACAGUGGAAUAGUACUCAAGGAAGAAGCCCAAGCCAUGAAAGUCCACCCAGAUGCAGCCUGCUGCUGGGCCUCUGCCUGCCACGCCCGUUCCUGCCUUGACCUUCCACACACUGGUCUCCAAGUCUCAAGUUCUCUGUUAUGUAUCUCUAGCUACACACAACCUGGUAACCUGUUGUAAUUCCC